GGCGGAAAAAUUACGGGUUUACG
This 23-nucleotide non-coding RNA is filed under the name Arabidopsis thaliana (thale cress). Lineage: Eukaryota; Viridiplantae; Streptophyta; Magnoliopsida; Brassicales; Brassicaceae. The record is from RNAcentral.